Molecule: transfer RNA, 65 nt
Filed under: Paralipsa gularis
Lineage: Eukaryota; Metazoa; Arthropoda; Insecta; Lepidoptera; Pyralidae
Description: tRNA-Pro
Source: RNAcentral
CAAAGAAUAGUUUAUAAAAAUAAUAAUUUUGGAGAUUAUAGAUAAAGAUUUGCCUUUUUCUUUGA